ACGGGAGGCAGCAGUGGGGAAUAUUGGACAAUGGGGGAAACCCUGAUCCAGCGACGCCGCGUGAGUGAAGAAGUAUUUCGGUAUGCAAAGCUCUAUCAGCAAGGGAGAAAAUGACGGUACUUGACUAAGAAGCCCCGGCUAACUACAUGCCAGCAGCCGCGGUAAUACGUAGGGGGCAAGCGUUAUCCGGAUUUACUGGGUGUAAAGGGAGCGUAGACGGCAAAGCAAGUCUGAAGUGAAAUCCCGGGGCUCAACCCUGGAACUGCUUUGGAAACUGUUUAGCUAGAGUGCAGGAGAGGUAAGUGGAAUUCCUAGUGUAGCGGUGAAAUGCGUAGAUAUUAGGAGGAACACCAGUGGCGAAGGCGGCUUACUGGACUGUAACUGACGUUGAGGCUCGAAAGCGUGGGGAGCAAACAGGAUUAGAUACCCUGGUA
This 434-nucleotide ribosomal RNA is filed under the name uncultured Clostridium sp. Its description in RNAcentral is "partial 16S ribosomal RNA". It matches the Rfam family "Bacterial small subunit ribosomal RNA", at positions 341 to 792 of the family's 1533-position model. The record is from RNAcentral. Lineage: Bacteria; Bacillati; Bacillota; Clostridia; Eubacteriales; Clostridiaceae.